RNAcentral lists this ribosomal RNA (483 nucleotides) under uncultured bacterium. RNAcentral's name for it is "SSU rRNA". It matches the Rfam family "Bacterial small subunit ribosomal RNA", at positions 26 to 523 of the family's 1533-position model. The record is from RNAcentral.
AGGACGAACGCUGGCGGCGUGCUUAACACAUGCAAGUCGAGCGAGGCCCUUCCUUCGGGAAGGUGCCCUAGCGGCGAACGGGUGAGUAACACGUGGGCAACCUGCCCCUAGCACUGGGAUAACUCCGGGAAACCGGGGCUAAUACAGGAUAUGACCUCCGAGGGCAUCCUUGGUGGUGUAAAGGAUUCUGGCUAGGGAUGGGCCCGCGGCCUAUCAGCUUGUUGGUGGGGUAAUGGCCUACCAAGGCGACGACGGGUAGCCGGCCUGAGAGGGCGACCGGCCACACUGGGACUGAGACACGGCCCAGACUCCUACGGGAGGCAGCAGUGGGGAAUAUUGCACAAUGGGCGAAAGCCUGAUGCAGCGACGCCGCGUGAGGGAUGACGGCCUUCGGGUUGUAAACCUCUUUCAGCAGGGACGAAGCGAAAGUGACGGUACCUGCAGAAGAAGCACCGGCCAACUACGUGCCAGCAGCCGCGGUAA